RNAcentral lists this ribosomal RNA (1003 nucleotides) under uncultured bacterium. Its description in RNAcentral is "bacterial SSU rRNA". It matches the Rfam family "Bacterial small subunit ribosomal RNA", at positions 497 to 1500 of the family's 1533-position model. The record is from RNAcentral.
CUAAAUACGUGCCAGCAGCCGCGGUAAUACGUAUGUCGCAAGCGUUAUCCGGAUUUAUUGGGCGUAAAGCGCGUCUAGGCGGCUUAGUAAGUCUGAUGUGAAAAUGCGGGGCUCAACCCCGUAUUGCGUUGGAAACUGCUAAACUAGAGUACUGGAGAGGUAGGCGGAACUACAAGUGUAGAGGUGAAAUUCGUAGAUAUUUGUAGGAAUGCCGAUGGGGAAGCCAGCCUACUGGACAGAUACUGACGCUAAAGCGCGAAAGCGUGGGUAGCAAACAGGAUUAGAUACCCUGGUAGUCCACGCCGUAAACGAUGAUUACUAGGUGUUGGGGGUCGAACCUCAGCGCCCAAGCUAACGCGAUAAGUAAUCCGCCUGGGGAGUACGUACGCAAGUAUGAAACUCAAAGGAAUUGACGGGGACCCGCACAAGCGGUGGAGCAUGUGGUUUAAUUCGACGCAACGCGAGGAACCUUACCAGCGUUUGACAUCCCAAGAAGUUAACAGAGAUGUUUUCGUGCCUCUUCGGAGGAACUUGGUGACAGGUGGUGCAUGGCUGCCGUCAGCUCGUGUCGUGGGAUGUUGGGUUAAGUCCCGCAACGAGCGCAACCCCUUUCGUAUGUUACCAUCAUUAAGUUGGGGACUCAUGCGAGACUGCCUGCGAUGAGCAGGAGGAAGGUGGGGAUGACGUCAAGUCAUCAUGCCCCUUAUACGCUGGGCUACACACGUGCUACAAUGGGUAGUACGGAGAGCUGCAAACCUGCGAGGGUAAGCUAAUCUCAUAAAACUAUUCUUAGUUCGGAUUGUACUCUGCAACUCGAGUACAUGAAGUUGGAAUCGCUAGUAAUCGCAAAUCAGCUAUGUUGCGGUGAAUACGUUCUCGGGUCUUGUACACACCGCCCGUCACACCACGAGAGUUGGUUGCACCUGAAGUAACAGGCCUAACCGUAAGGAGGGAUGUUCCGAGGGUGUGAUUAGCGAUUGGGGUGAAGUCGUAACAAGGUACC